This 991-nucleotide long non-coding RNA is filed under the name Homo sapiens (human). Its description in RNAcentral is "HSALNT0256376". The record is from RNAcentral. Lineage: Eukaryota; Metazoa; Chordata; Mammalia; Primates; Hominidae.
CUUAGAAACACAAACACACAAAUACAAAUAAACAUAGACAUAGACACAGAUAUAGACACAGGCACACACAUAUAGACUAAGUCACAGACUUAGAAACACAGACACACAAAUACACGUAAACAUAGACAUAGACACAGAUAUAGACACAGACAUACGCACACAUACACAAAAACACAGACUUAGAAACACAGACACACAUAAACAUAGACAUAGACACACACACACAUAGACAAAGUCACAGACUUAGAAACACAGACACAUAAAUACACAUAAACAUAGACAUAGACACAGAUAUAGACACAGACACACACACACAUAGACUGUCACAGACUUAGAAACAUGGACACACAAAUACACAUAAACACAGACAUAGACACAGACACAAACACACAUAGAUGAAGUCACAGAUUUAGAAACACAGACACACAAAUACACAUAAACAAACAUAGACAUAGACACACACACAUAGACAAAGUCACAGACUUAGAAACACAGGCACACAAAUACAAAUACACAUAAACAUAGACACAGAUAGACACAGACGCACACACAUAGAUGAAGUCACAGACUUAGAAACACAGACACACAAAUACACAUAAACAUAGACAUAGACACAGACACACACGCACAUAGACAAAGUCACAAACUUAGAAACACAGACACACAAGUACACAUAAACAUAGACAUAGACACAGAUAUAGAUACAGACGCACACACAUAGAUGAAGUCACAGACUUAGAAACACAGACACACAAAUACAAAUACACAUAGACAUAGACACAGACACACACGCACAUAGACAAAGUCACAGACUUAGAAACACAGACACACAAGUACACAUAAACAUAGACAUAGACACAGAUAUAGACACAGACGCACACAUACAUAGACUAAGUCACAGACUUAGAAACACAGACACAAAAAUACACAUAAACAUAGACAUGACACACACUCAGACACAACUACUGAUAGACAUAAACAUAGACAUAGA